CAUGUCACCUCUGUGCUUCAGUCUGUACAGCCCGUAGCCAACCACCAUGGCAAAGCCAGCCAUCCCUGCAAGGCAAGGCGAGCAUCCUUAUGGCAAGUCCUGGCCUGUCUACUGUUUUCACUCGAGUGGCGUCUAAUUCAAUGCACCAGGCAGCACAGAGAACAGUGAGGGAUUUCCACCAGCGUUAAAAUGCAACAGCAGCAACUCAAAAAGCACAUGUGCUGCUUGCACCCUCUUUCCUGGGAGGAAGCUCACACCCAAGAACACCACUCAGCUGCAGCUGGGACACACG
Egretta garzetta (little egret) is the source of this 292-nucleotide long non-coding RNA. RefSeq lists it as uncharacterized. The record is from RefSeq and is a predicted model, not a curated record. The transcript is spliced from 3 exons. Lineage: Eukaryota; Metazoa; Chordata; Aves; Pelecaniformes; Ardeidae.